UACGUAGGGUGCGAGCGUUGUCCGGAAUUAUUGGGCGUAAAGGGCUCGUAGGCGGUUUGUCGCGUCGGGAGUGAAAACUCAGGGCUUAACCCUGAGCCUGCUUCCGAUACGGGCAGACUAGAGGUAUGCAGGGGAGAACGGAAUUCCUGGUGUAGCGGUGAAAUGCGCAGAUAUCGAGAGGAACACCUGCGGCGAAGGCGGGUUGCUGGGCUGAUACUGACGCUGAGGCGCGAAAGCCAGGGGAGCGAACGGG
This 253-nucleotide ribosomal RNA is filed under the name uncultured bacterium. RNAcentral's name for it is "partial 16S ribosomal RNA". It matches the Rfam family "Bacterial small subunit ribosomal RNA", at positions 524 to 776 of the family's 1533-position model. The record is from RNAcentral.